RNAcentral lists this ribosomal RNA (301 nucleotides) under uncultured bacterium. Its description in RNAcentral is "partial 16S ribosomal RNA". It matches the Rfam family "Bacterial small subunit ribosomal RNA", at positions 509 to 809 of the family's 1533-position model. The record is from RNAcentral.
CAGCCGCCACGGUAAUACGUAGGGUGCGAGCGUUAAUCGGAAUUACUGGGCGUAAAGCGUGCGCAGGCGGUUAUAUAAGACAGAUGUGAAAUCCCCGGGCUCAACCUGGGACCUGCAUUUGUGACUGUAUAGCUAGGGUACGGUAGAGGGGGAUGGAAUUCCGCGUGUAGCAGUGAAAUGCGUAGAUAUGCGGAGGAACACCGAUGGCGAAGGCAAUCCCCUGGACCUGUACUGACGCUCAUGCACGAAAGCGUGGGGAGCAAACAGGAUUAGAUACCCCCGUAGUCCCUGUCUCUUAUAA